GCGUACCGCUACAAGCCCGUGCGGUAGGCUGCUCGGAGGAUCAUACAGGUGACGCUUGAUAGUCGUGGGAGAGCGUUAUUUUGUGCCACAUAGUGUGUCGACAAGGCCGACAGGCGCUGCUUGCAGUGCGAUCAACAGGUUCGCUCAGCGCCACAGUGCAGCCACUGCUGGUCUGCUACUGUCUCAACAGAGAUGCCAUGGGAUGCCAACAGAAGCCACCUUGAUGUGGUGGCCGAUGUCAAUCCCACACCACACGCGGAACGUCACAAUGUCAUCAAAACAAAA
Molecule: long non-coding RNA, 285 nt
Organism: Rhipicephalus microplus (southern cattle tick)
Lineage: Eukaryota; Metazoa; Arthropoda; Arachnida; Ixodida; Ixodidae
Source: RefSeq, a predicted model, not a curated record